This 2501-nucleotide long non-coding RNA is filed under the name Homo sapiens (human). RNAcentral's name for it is "HSALNT0085114". Lineage: Eukaryota; Metazoa; Chordata; Mammalia; Primates; Hominidae. The record is from RNAcentral.
CUCUGUCUCAAAAAAAGAAAAAAAAGAAAUACAAAAAGUAGAAACCAGGCUGCACAGCAGGAGGUGAGUGGUGGGCAAGUGAGCAUUACCACCUGAGCUCCUGUAUUCCUGUCAGAUCAGCCUUGGCAUUAGAUUCUCAAAGGAGAAUGAACCCUAUUGUGAACUGCACAUGAGAGGGAUCUAGGUUGUGGGCUCCUUAUGAAAAUCUAACCAAUACCUGAUGAUUUGAAGUGGAACAGUUUCAUCCUGAAGCCAUCUUCCCCGACCCCCAAGCCGUGUAAAAAUUGUCUUUCACAAAACUGGUCCCUGGUGCCAAAAAUAUUGGGGACCACUGUCCUAGACCAUAAUUUCUAAUCUCGUGGCUAGUGUGUUAGUCUUACAAAGGGAGUCUGGUCCUCAGGUUAGAUGGGGUUUGUUUCGGAAAGAGCUGUUAUCUUUGUUUUAAAGUAAAAUUAUAACCUAAGUUCCUUCCAAAGUUAGUUCAGCCUAUGCCUAGGAAUGAAAAAGGGCAGCUUGGAGGUUAGAAGCAAGAUGUCAGUUAAGUCAGAUUUCUGUCACUGUCCUAAUUUUCUCACUGUUAUAAGUUUUGCAAAGCCAGGGGCACCUACCAACCUCGAAGGAAUGUCCUUACAGUGAGGUGCACUUUGGGUUCAGUGUAAAAAUGAGAUCCUGGAUUUUUGUGGAUGUAGUUUCUCUGCCUUCCAGCUGUACAUGUUUUCACAUAUUUGGCCUUGGAAACUUCAAUGCAUUGUCAGUCCUAUUCAUUAGUAGGCUCUUCCUAGACCUAAGAGGCCCAGUUGAAAAACAGAAUAGACUGGCAGCUAUCUAUAUAACUAAAAUUGGUCUCUUUACAAAAGCUUGUGGCAAAUUUCUAUGUUUUUGUGUUACUUUGGCAUCCAUUUAUUGGAGAGAUGAGGUGUUCACACAGAGAGGAUUAGCAUCACAAGUGUUUUAAGCAGAUACUUCCAAAACAUGAGCUCUCUCCAAUAGCAACAGUAGGUGGCUACAAAAUUAUUACAAUAGUACCAUAUGUACUGGAGUAAAUUUUAUGCAGUUAUAAUUUAAUACACAUCUUUACAUUUGCUUACAUUUAUCUCAACUGUGAAUGGCAUUGUGGAUGGUCUGUGCUUAUGUGCAUAAUUUUUGACAAAUUUUAGCUUUUUAUAAUAAACUAGUGUACACCUUAUUGUAGUAAAUUAUAAAAUGAACUAGUACUUACAUAUAUUUUAUGCAUUCAUGACAUACCUUUUUAUUAUUUUCAAUAUUUUUAGGUUACAUGGUUCAUCUAAGGGUUUUUUUUUUCAAAUUAUUGCAAUGCUCCAAAAAAUUUUUGAUAUAUUUAUUGAAAAAAAAUCCACGAAUAGCUGGACCUACUUAGUUCAAACCAUGUUAUUCAAAGGUCAAUUGUAAUUGGAGAUACUGAGGGUUUUUUAACCAAUGCUUUAAUUGGAGUGUCAUAUUUUCAAAUAUGACUACUUGAGGGAUUGAGGUUGACUUUCAUGGAUCCAAUAAAAACCUCCUCGAGGGGGGCCAGACCAGUGGCUCAUGCCUCUAAUUCCAGCACUUUGAGAGGCCAAGGCAGGUGAAUCUCUUGAGCCCAGGAGUUCAAGAUCAGCCUGAGCAACAAUGGCAAAAUCUCUGUUUCUCCAAAAAUACAAAAAAUUAGCCGGGUGUGGUUGCAUGAGCCUGUAGUCCAAGCUACUCAAGAGGCUGAGGUGGGAGGAUCACCUGAGCCCAUGGAGAUCCAGGCUGCAGUAAGCUGUGAUCAAACCACUGCACUCUGGCCUGAGUGACAGAGUAAGACCCUGUCUAAAAACAACAACAACAACAACGACAACAAAAACAGUCCUUUGGAAAAACUGGUCUGGUACUUUAUCUACAUGUUUCCUUUACAGAAUUUCUGACUGUGGUUCGUCUUAAACUCCUGGGCUCAAGUAAUACUCCCACCUGGGCCUCUCAAAGUGCUGGGAUUGCAGGCAUGAGCCAGCACACCCAGCUCCAGUGCUACUGUGCGUCAGGCCUAGGAACCUCAGGAUAUUUUGAAGACCUUAAGAAGAAAGAAAUGCAUCCAAUUUAUACAGGUCACUUCAUCUCAUCAUUUUGAAAAUGAUUUAUGACUCUAGAAUUCCAUUUAGAAGAACUCUCAUUCAAAUGCAGAAAAGAAAGGGAGCCCAAAGGGAAGAUAGAAGUGACUCACUGACAUAAAAUAGGCUGAGAAACAGUUACGUGAGUAAUGCAUAAUGAAAUUGUGUGAAUAUAAAGUGCAAGUGGAAAACUAUUAAAUUAUAUAAAUAAAAAAUAGUUAUAUCCAGAUUAUAUGCAUCUGUCUAUAUCUAAAUGGGUGAAAUAAUGCACUGACAUAAUAAGAAGUAAUAGUUAUAAUUUGGAAAAUAAAAGAGUAUACCAUACAAUAUAUUCUAGGGAAAAUAAUAGCAAUGAAAGACAAUGAUGACUUUUUGUAUGUAUACCCACAAAUAAUCUAUAUUUCAAGUAUUAAGACA